UGUAUUGUGGCUUACCGUACGUUGUGU
Molecule: small RNA, 27 nt
Filed under: Bombyx mori (domestic silkworm)
Lineage: Eukaryota; Metazoa; Arthropoda; Insecta; Lepidoptera; Bombycidae
Description: ovarian small RNA-35540
Source: RNAcentral